UGACCAUCAUAACCAAAUUACAUAGAAUUUUUUGUUUUUGUUAUAAAACAUGUUUCACAAUCAUUGAAAUUAGGGAAUGGGUGAUCCUAUUGAUGAAUCUAUUUACUAAUUUGUAUGUGAAAACAUUUCAUCAUUCCUGACACUUUUGCUUUUGUUUCACAUUUAUAUUAAUAAACAAUAUUAAUAAUUUUGAUUUAAUAUUCCAUGGAGCACAGCUAAAUAUACUUUAUCAGACGGAUGAAAUCACAAUUUGUACACAGUGACACAUUUAUGAAGUAAAAGUUCUGUGAAACAUCCUCUUUUCAGUGAUCACAAUUAGGACACAAUAUCACAUAUCAUAUGUAUUCCACUUUCUUAUAAAAUUUUUCCUUUGUUUGAUCAUGAACUAACACAUGUUCCAGAAUCAUUGCA
This 411-nucleotide long non-coding RNA is filed under the name Mytilus galloprovincialis (Mediterranean mussel). The record is from RNAcentral. Lineage: Eukaryota; Metazoa; Mollusca; Bivalvia; Mytilida; Mytilidae.